This is a long non-coding RNA of Drosophila yakuba, 12392 nucleotides long. RefSeq lists it as uncharacterized. The transcript is spliced from 2 exons. Lineage: Eukaryota; Metazoa; Arthropoda; Insecta; Diptera; Drosophilidae. The record is from RefSeq and is a predicted model, not a curated record.
ACUAGAAGUAAAGAGAGAGAAAUUCGUAAAAAACGUAUUAGCAAGCUGGGGGCUGUGGGGGGUGGUGGGUGGUGGAUGGUGGCUAGUGGGUGUUGGGUGGUUUAUGGUGAUGUCGUGUGUUGUUUGUGCCAUGUGCAAAGUAAGUGAUGGAAAACAGCCUUAGAAUGUUGGAGAGAAUAAGUGGUAGUAGUACACAGAAGACCGAAAGCGAAUGGAAUAAAAGCUAAAAUGGAGAAAAUGAGGAAAACAACGCCAUGGAUUUUCCUAAUUGAGCCGAGUCAAGCUCUCAUUAAUGAGUCAUUGCGAAUGGUCCAGUGAGCCCAGGAGCUGCUUUAUCCUUUCUCAAAUUUUACUUAAAUUUAAAAGUGCGGUCUGAGGGCCGGCAAUUAUAAAACUUUUUCGCAAGCAAAAGUUAAAUCAGCUUAGUUUUUUGCUAGCUAGACGAAAAUAUUUAAUAUAGAGAUUUUCAAAAGAUUUAAGUUUGGACAAUAAGUGGAUUAACAUAGUGUUAAAUGAAGCAGUGAGAGUUUUUGCAAUUGAAAUUACAAAGUUAAUAGUUUACCAUCCUGCUUAUCAAAUAUGCCAUGGAGUCAAACAAAAUGUUCUAAUUUUAAUUAUGCUUACAUGACCGGAGAAAGUUAAAAAAGUUAAGUGUUGCACGAGCAAACAGUUGUGCAACUUUUGUCAACCGCACGAUUUUAGCUUGACAUAGUUUUUAAUGCACUCAAAAAUAGAUAAUUAAUUCAGUUUGCUUCUGCCGUUUGGGACACUCUCUUAAUCGCCCCUAGAGCUUCAUCGAAACUUUUUCAUACAUUUUUAAAACGAUAAUGCCUUUAGUUUUCGGCCUUGCACCGAAUGGCUUUACGGCCUUUUCCGAUUGCCGUCCCGUAAGUCGAUCACGUAGCGGACUCGUUGUCGGGUAAUGUAGCAUAAUCAAAUUUAAUCUAUGGAACUGCCCUCGUAGCCGCAAAUUCCCAGUUCGGGCCGCAAAUUCCCACACCCCUCCGCCGUGUUCAUCGGUAACUCUUUGGCCAACACAAUUCAUCAUUCAGCUGUACCUUUGGCAGGCCACGAGCCGAGGAAUUGUAGCGUUUUGCAUAAUUUAAAACGACACGCCACAGCCAGCCACUUCCACUUCCACUUUCACUUUGCAAAAAGGCUUUGUGGAGCAGAAGUCCUUUGCCACUGUCACUCACAGAGUUAAUUUUUCAGAGCUCAUUGAUGGAUGAGCGCGUCGGUGACAUUUAUGCACGAUGCCCGCCUAGCCUCGCCCAAAUGAUACCGACUAACAGGCCGUUAAAAAUUAACGCCAUCAUCUUGGCCUGACUUGGCCUGGUCUCACCCGGGUCCUGGGCAAGUUUCUAGCUGCGCAGCCGAGGCAACCAAAACGAGUUAAACAUAUUAAAAUUUGCCUAUGCAACCAGGCAGAGGGGCUCCAAAUGCUCGGAAGACGCUAAGCAUCACGUACUUUAAAUAUGUUUAACGCAGCUUAAGUGGAAGAUACAUAUAUAUAUAAUAUAUGUGCGUGUAGGGCUCACUUCCACUUCCACUGUAACCAUGUGGCACUGUCAAUGGCAACGCCUGUUACUGGCAUUAUAUCACAAGUUGGAGGCAACUGGGGCCAGGUGGGCGUGGCUCUGGUUGCCUGCCGCCUAUCGGGUGUCUCAGGCGCUGGCUUUGUGCAGCGACACUUGCCACAUUUCUCUUUCGAGGUCUUUUGUGUCACAUUUUUGUGAGACGGAUUCCUAUCCGGGCCUGGAUUUAAUUUCAAAAUCGUGUUCGGGUCAGAGGCGCAACUGUGAUAUGCUGCGUAAUCCUAAACAGCUUCCUACACUGCUGCCAUGUCGGCCGAAAGGUGAAAGAUGAAGGAUGACUGACUGUGGCUAGCUGCCCCAUAGCAUCCAAUAAUGAAUUGGACUAAAAAGAAUGAACAGAUAUGGCCCAUGUAUUACUUAUAUGCUUGUUCACAUAAAAAACUUUCUUCAACCGGAUAGAAAGUGAUUCCAAUUUUUGUAUACCACUAGGUUAGUCCUUAAGGAAAAUGUUGAUGACAGGAGGAUGUCUGGUUAACAAAUAGAACCCAUUAUUAUCAAGUUAUUAUCGCUGGGCAACCCUAACCUAUUACUUCCUCCGACAGCUUAUCUAAAUUGUAUACUUUAUGCUCCUCACACUUUUCAGAGGCGCACGAGCCUAUUAAGACGUCUGUUGCCACCUCUUAGGACCUGAUCCCUAUUAAUUUCCCGUUUCUUUCGCCCAAGUUAAUACGAUUUGUAUUCCAAUCCCCCACUUCGAUUCCGCACGCCCUAACUGACAUAAACAAUACUUAAUUAACAUAAAACUAACAUCCCCGACCCGACGGCAACCCAAUUUAAACAGCCAUACGUGCGUAAUUAAGCCCGCCCUUGGCGUGCCACGCCCCUCGGGCAGCGCCCAUAUCGCCAAGUGCUUUCCUGCCAGCUAUCAGGGGGGAGUUCCAUGGGAAUCAGAUUGGGGAGGCGGAGGAGCAGGAGGCAUACGGCUGGCGUUGGCGGCUUCUGGCCGUGCUAGUGUGAAAAUCAAAGGGGCAUUAAACGCACGCCCACGCACUUGGUCAGGAUCUGGUUGGAUAUUCGGUUGGCGGGGGCUGCCGCAGAAGGGGGCGUGGCAGUAAGUGCGACCAAUUAAUUUCGCUGGUUUCUGGUGGCUACGGUUGUCGUAAACAAGCGAAGCGAUUGGCGCCCACGAAGACAACAGAUGUCACUUAAUGUUAUUAAAUCUCUGCACCGUGUUUGCCUUAAAUCUUUUUUCGGCCAUAAAUGUAUUUGCACAAGGACGCCAACUCGACGUGCGAGUGUGUGAAUGUGGAAAUGCUGUGUUUCCUGCUGUGACGUCGCCGUAAUCCGAUUAAACGACGAAUAUUAUGCAAGGGAAUGCAUUCUCUGCCGGCAAAGCGAUGUCCUCGAGAGCGAUGAAGGAGCUGCUCCUCCAACCUCCAACCUCGAACCUCCAACAUCCAACCUCCUCAUCCUCCGGCACAAUUAAAAUUCCCUCACACAUGAAAAACGGCGAGCUCGUGCUGAUUUCAUUUCAUUCCGCAGCAGGCAUUUCAGCCUCGGCAGAGUGACAAGGAUAAUGAUCAUUCUAAUCGUAAUCUCUUCAGAUUCCAUCACAUUGAGAAGUGUGUUCAAGAGAUUGCCCACGAUUAACGUAUAUUUGGGAGCUCUCUAAGUGCACUGCACUGCACUUGGGCUCCAUUAACAAUUUGAGUGCCAGAAAUAGCCGCAAGAUGAUUAAAUAGGAAUAACAUUUGCCCACUUGCAACUGCAAGUUGAAGAGCCCAAACAAGCUGCACUUAGUGCAAGGCAGACAUAUUCCCUACCAGAAUUACCUGUCUGCCUGCAACUUAUUUUGCAGUGCCAUAAAAGCAUGCUUUUCUUUCUUUUCCGACGACGGCUUUCUGCUCGCCACGCUGGACUUUGCUGAAACAAUGUGCUUCCUUUUCACAAUCCAUAACCAACAAAUGCUUUAAUGUUUUGACCAACUUCCACAGGCCAAACACAUUUCGCAUUUCAUUCUUUUCGCAACUCAGCAGCUCCUUUUGCGUUGGGUGAAAGCGGCGCCUGCAGUUAUGCAAUAUUAUUUUAAAGAAAAUUCCACUUUCACAAUGCAAUGCAGCAAACUCACUUCGUUGUGAUUGUGUGCGCCUUCCGACUUUUCACGUUGGCUGCUGUCAGCGGCAAAUGCAAAAGCCGAAGUCGAACGGAGUGGCCAUCCACUGAUGGGGCGUGCUGGAGUCCAGUUUAAUUUGAAUUGUUUGCGGAGGGCAAGCAGUUUUAGUGCUACUAAGGCUCCGGCAAGACCACGCCCUGUCCAUAAUCUUAUUAAGUGCGCUUAGUUCCUUAAUAAACAAUCGUAAAAACUUCGAAGCACUGGCGAGUGCAGCAAAGAGUCCUGUAUUUCAGCCACAUUAUUUCCGCUUAUCCCCCGCCGAACGGAGAGGGCGAAUCUAAACGAGAAAUUACGAACUCACACACACAGAAUUUAAGAACUCAACUUUUGUGACGGGCUGUGCAGAGAGAAAAACCGGAUAAUCUGCCUGAAAUCGGGGACGAGCUGAUUAGAAGCCUGACACGAACCCAAAAUUACUUGUAGUCUUAAGCUCUUAUGAAUUAGAAGGGUGAAAUGUUCCUUAGAAUCAACUUAAAUAAGUAAUGGGUACUUCUUGUUGUAACAAUGUUCGCAAAGCUCACUAAAGCAUAGACGUUUUUCGCAGUGCAGUUGUAGCUGAACCAGCGCCUUCGGUGGCAAAUUCAAUUAAAUAACUGCACAGAAAACUUUCGCAAAACACAAUUCAACAAAUUCUUGAAUGCUUUGCUACACUUUUGACAAAAUUUAUACACAUUCUGUCGCCGCAAAGAACAUUCCACAAACUUGCUGUCGAAAGUGGGGUCCGAGAAUCGAGUCCGAGCUCUACGACGGCUUCCACGGCCAUCUAAGCCAGGUCUGAUGAAUUGUUGACCAGAAAUAAUAUAAGUGGCCCGGAAUGAGCUAAAAACUGUGGCCCGGAAACUUUAUCCACUCGGAUUGAAGGCUGUGGCCGGGUGAAAUGAGUUUGCAGUGACCACAGAGCGGCUAGCUGAGAUUUAAGUUUCGGUUGGGAAUGAGGAUGGUGAUGGUGAUGGGUUGGCAUCAUUUUAUUUCACUUAUCGCUUUUGGGCACCGCACAAACCAAUCCGUAAUGAAGACUCGGGCAUAAAGUUUCAUUUCGGAAGAGUAGCAGCCGUAUGCUGGCCUAACAAAAACAGGACGAGAACAGUCGGAAAACCCAGGAAAACGCAGGGAAACCCAGCAUGGCUGCAAGGAAAACGGAAGACAAACAAACUGUUCUGGCCCGGCCCGAAGGCAUCCAGCUUCUUCUGGCCCUGUGUUGGACUUACGGAAACUCUUGUUUACGGCACUCGCAUGUGUUUUGCUUCCCCCCCUCCCUCGGCAGAUUCAUAAAUUCGCACGGACUCUUUCUGCCCCCCAAAUUGUUGUUUAAUAUGUUUUGUCUAUGCGUUGUGUAAUUGUUUCUUAGACCAGACGAGCAACCAAACUUUUGCCAAUAGGACGAGCUUGAGGUGAGAGAAAAGAGAGAAAUAAGGGAAAAUGUCCAAAUUAAUACUUUUUGCCUGGAAAGGAUUUGAAAACUUUCCAUUGGCUUUGUCAGGGACUUUGGCUCAAAAGUAAAAAUAAAAACACCACUUCGCCCGAAGCUCCCUCUGAUGUAUUAUAAAUUCAGUCAAACAGGAUUUGCCAAAGUAGAUAAUCCACACGAUGGCUUCAAGUGCGCAAUAUUGAAAGUCGGGCAGGUCGUAGGACUUCAUUAAAUGACAGCGCAUAAAUAACAAAACGCAAACAAAUGGCUGUCAUGGCCGAAAACAUACAAAAAUGUACAAGAAUACACAUAAGUACACAUAAAUACAAACAUAUGUACAUCGGGGACGUAUGCGUGCCACGUAUCCAAGUUCGAUUGUGGCACUCUUACGCCGCAGCUCUUGUCGCCUGAAAAACUUAUUCGUUGUUUGUGCUUCGUAAAAUGUAACGUGACAGGGGAAAUUAAUUGAUUUAUGCUGCCAGCAUCAGAGGAGACGUAAUGUUAUAGAAACCAACGAUGCACGCAAAUAAAUCCAUUGCUAUUCCAUUUGACUCUAGCCCAAUAUGAACGGGCACUUUCCGAAGAGCUUACCAUCAACAAGGAUUGCUGAAUUAUGCCCUCAUAUAAUUCCAAACUCCAUAUAAUAAUCUAGUUUGGAAAAUAUUCAAUAGCCUGGUAGUGGUUGCUGAUCUUAUUUCGAAAUUAGUGUUGGUUAAAAACAUACAUACAUUACAUACCCUUAUAUGAAAGCCAAAUUAAAAUAUCCUUUACCUGUUUGCGGUUUUAAGUUAACAUUGAAUCAGUAAUCAUUGAAAUAUAUGGUGUUGUUGAACGCAUUUAGAAACUAAGUGUUGAUUAACAGCUUAUAUAUUAAAAAAUCUUUACAAAAUUUAAGGAAAUCUCUAGUUCUGGGUUGGUUUGCUUGAAAUAAAAUUUAUAGUGAAUCAAAUGAAAGCAUUUUCUCCAUGUGCGACAUAAUUCCUAACCAUAAUCAGGACGCAUGCCGCUACCAGUGCUACACAAUUUUUCGCAAUAACUCAGAUGCAGCUCAGAAACUGAGAAAGCAGCUGCUGCAGUCGAAAUUGGAAAAUUUUGAAGGCUACGACCGCAGUGGCGGGGAAAAACCUGUGAACGUGAUCUGGGCCAGCGGAAUAACGACAGAACUGGAGGACGGAUAUUGGCAUGGCAACAGGAAACAGAACGACAGCGGCAAAGGCACAUAUACGUGGAAACAAAGGAAAACGCAGAGCCUGAAACAAAGGCAAACAGCAGGGAAACAGAGGACGUUUCCCAACGGAAACGGAAAUCUCAGGUGUUUGCUCUGUCCUUUGUUGCUGCCUCUGGUUUCCACGCUUUCCUCGCUUUCCGCGCUUUCCGCGUUUUCCCCGCUUUCCUUUCGCCUUUGCCAGCUGCUAGCAUCUAAACAGCUCCCCGGCUAAUUAAUCUUAUUUUGGCAUUUGGGCUGGGAAUUUUCGCAACAGCUCUCAACAUCAUUUCCCAGCUGGGUUGUGGAUGUAUGGAUGCGAGUGUGGAUUGGGCCAAAGCGCGACCAGGAGCAGGAGCAGGAGAAGGCGCAGGAGCACACAACCAGCACACAAACACGCACUUAGAGUAAGCGCAUUCUAAACGCUGACACUGAUGCUUGACACGAAUGACGUGAUGAAUGUCUCCAGAAGAUGUUCCUCCGCUUUUGACGAAUGUCUCUGGUCGGAACAGCACGCAAAACAAUUUCAAGUGUCGUCGCUGCCGUUCAGGUGCUCCAUCAUACAGGCAUGUUCAUUUGUUGCUGCCCCCAGUCGUACACCUGGCCACCGACUCCACUCACCUCAUCUCAAUCCAAACCAUCUGAAACCAUCUCAUCCCACCUGGACUCCCACUUCGCGAGCUUGCAGUUUGUCAACGACAGUUGCAUAGAAAUGGCACCGAACUAAAUCGCAUAAAUCUCACGAGUCUACAGCAAAAGUAAAAAGUAACAAAAAACCGACUGAUAGUGUCCAUUCUGCACUCAAUGCACAGAAGAAAAUGCUUUUCUACAGAAAAUUCAGAAAAUAUCGUUAAAAUCAGAAUACAUACUUUGAUCAGAUACCAAUAGUAAAAUUCUGAACAAAAAUCUUUGUUGUAACUGAACCUACCCGCAAUCCACUUUGAAGAAUUAUGUAUUAUGUGUAUAAUAAAGCUUCUGUUUUAUUGCCUAAGAAUUUUGCAAUAACUGUACACUUUUUACAGUGCACUUAGAAUAGAAUAUACAAAUGGUAGACCUGGAGUCGCAGUGAAAUUAUGAAUAGGAAAUAACUUCACCGCUUGCGCACGUUUUGUAUGCGUCGACUACACCCAUAUCAAUCCAAUCAAACUACAAGGGGCGUCGCAUGAAUAGGAUACUGUAACACAUGGCGUAUACGUAUUAUUUUUCGAGCAUUUCUGACAGAGCUUCAAGCUAUUUGUGCUGUUCUCCAUUCGAGCAUUUUUGCAAUGCUCGUGCUCGUGUAAGCUGAUUACAAUUCAAGGAUAUCGUCUGCUUUAUUUUUCCCAUUGAGAGAUUAGCACAGCUAACGCAAAAGUAAAUGUGUGUGCGUGGGCAUGACAAGAAAUUAUUGUGGAAAAUGGAAAGUCAAUAUUGUCCCAGGGCCAGCAAAAAUAUAAUACACAGCAUUUGGCAUGCAGUCAUCGAAAGGGAAAAGCAUUUAUAGUAUUUCAGUUUCCAUUCGAUUGGGCAAACGAAUAUUUUAACGUAGUGAAUUGAUUUUAAUUGAAUUUUAUGCGAAAAAGACUCACAUAUAGUCGUUUAUUUUUUUUUAUUUGGACACCUCUACCUGGAAAAGUCAUGUCAAAAUCUUAGAAUUAUAAAUUGCACAUACGCCGAGGGCUUGGGAGCAGCAAAUGCUUACCCACAGAGAAAUAAGUGAUUAUGAACUCGAAACUUGAUCGGCUUUAAACGUGCUCAAUGGGAUACUCAAAUGGGCCAUGGAAGAUGCCAAAUCGAGAUGUGCACUCAUCAACUUGGCCCCUUUCAUGGCUCCUCGUUUCGUCCAAAUCCGUUCCAUUAAUAGUCUGACAAAGGCAGCAGGACGUCCGCAAUCGAAAGCGUUGGCCAUUUGGAAGAGUUUACCAGAGAUUCGCAGAAGGCCAGCUGCACUUUGGGUCAACGGCUGCUCGAGUGGUGUGGCAAAGUGUUUUGGGACAACGAGUUUCGCAUUGCAUGCCAUACUCAGAGAACUGCCAUCAGUCAGCUGGUCAGUCAUUUCCAUUAAAAUUGGCAACAGUUAAGUGGGAAAUAAAUUAGAAUUGGUAAUAUAAAUCUAAUCCCCCAACAUCACCACAGCACCAAAGCAGCAAAGCAGCAAAGCACCACAUGCCCAUGUGCUCUUACAUCCCACAUCCAUCCAAUCUCGGCGUCAAGUUGGAAAUGUAAUUUGAGCUCAAAUUACAUUUGAGUGCGGAAUUAGCACAGUUGUCAAUCUGUGUCCUCUGUCCGAGUGUCCGAGUGUGUGGGGCCCAGUGUUCGUGUCCAGUGCAUUGCUGCAUCAUAUUAAUGGGCCCGGCCACAUUGUCCGGGGUAGCAAGUUUGCUGGCGAAACAAGCCAUCCAACACCCAGCACCCAGCAUCCAAAAUCCUGCUGCGGCAGUAACUCGUUUACGUCCGUUGCAGGUUGGAAAAUGUGAAAAUUUGAAAAUUCAUGAAUUCCUCUGUGCGAGGGAUCGUGCGAGGGGUCCUGCGAGCAGGAGCUGUUUACAUUCAAUUUACGGCUGGGAGCAGAAAGCGAUGUAGGGGCCAAGGCCUGUUUGCAUCCGCACCGUAAUGAUUACUUUGUGGGAAAAAAGAACUGGAUAUGCUUGCGGUGGUCCAAUCAGAGGCUACUCAUUCGACACCUGCCACAAAACUCGGUCACCUGUUGGCCGAGCAAAUUAAUUACUCCAUUUUCAUUUGCGGCCAUAAACAAUAAUUGCAUAUAAUUAACACAGAGACAGUGGCGCUUUGGCAAAAUGCAAAUUGAUGCCAUCAAGUGAAAGCCCAUCAUCGACAAGCCCAUCGACAAAUGGGAAAUGAAAUAUUGUUGCAAUUAUUAUACUUUCGGUCUGACGUCAGUGCAAAUGCAAAUGCAAAAUAGCGAAGACAAUCGUAGUUUUGGUAUUCCCGACCCUGUUUUCCUGUUGUUUCUGCACUUUCCAUGUUUCCCAUGCUAAUUUAUGAAUACAAAAGCCUGUCGCCCGUCCCUUUCACGCUUGGAAUCACAGUGCGUAUGCUUAACCAUCCGCACACGGUGAAAAUUUAUGCAACAGCGAGUGAGGUGGGUGGUUUUUGGUUUGACUUUGUUCUCCGGUUUCUGGCCAACUUUAAAGAGAACCUCGGAUUCAUAGUUGUAUCCUGUGCACGCAGUAAAUAACUUUUAAUCUGGCUGAUUCAUUGUUAAAUGGCUUGUUUUGCAUACAUAGUUUACAAUAUAUUUAUUUUUGAAGUGAAAGGCAACACUCAAACUCGCAUGUCUCAGGACAUUAGAAGGAUUUUCGAUCUCUUAGUCCAAUUAAAAUGUAAUUAAAAGCGUUGGUAAAGAAAAUAUACUUACAGCAGUAGGGCGACAUUAUGAAUUAUGAAAACCAUUUUCAUUUUGAAAACAAAUUUAUGUUGCACUUCAUUUGUACUGUAAUGGACUGCUGUGUAUCUUUCAAAAUUGUGCAAUAACAAUUCAAAUUUACCAAAGCUUUCUGCACUUUAAUUUAGAAUGCGUGCACAUGUAACCAACUCGGUUAAUGGUAGCUGGCCAAAAACCAAGCAGCUUAAGGGCUCAUCCGCCUGCUCCCGGCAUUCAGGUUUCCAGAGCUCGGUCAGACUGCAAAUUGCUUAUGCUCUUUGCGUAAUUACAAGUGCUACCGGCCACCUGAAGCUCUGCCACGCCCCUCCCUUCACUCCUCCCUUCAGGCACCCCUGCGCCCCUUUUAGCCAACAAACAGUCCGAAUGUAGCUCAUGUGUGACAUGAGUCCACUUCGCCGGGAUGGGUUCAAAGUUUGUUUUAAAAAUUCACAUCGCCAAAUGGAAUGAAUAUAAAUUUGUAAAAAUAUUACAUUACGCUCGGAUGUCUAGGACAGCUGUGCGGAGCUCUGGAAGCUGGCUUAUUACUUGCAAUGAAUAAAUAAACAUGGGAUCGUGCGAACGCACAAAUGUACUACACACAGGGUUCUGCGAGUGUGUCUGUGUCCAUGUUUAUGCCCUGCCCAUUUCACGAAAUGAAUUCCCGGUGUGCAAACACAGCACACGUUGUCGGGCACAUUGACCAUGAAAGUGUCAAAUUGUAUUAUCUUGAUGCUUUCACAUGUUUAAUGGUAACUCGUGCCUCUAAAAUAUAAAAGUACUUAGAACUAAUCACACGAUAAGAGAAAAGUUAGCACAGUCUUCAGCAAAAUGGUAACCAUCAAUUAGCUGGCACAAAUUUAAGCAUGCAUUUGGGGUCAACUUAGAUUUCACGCUUUCCCGAGUUCGUGAAUCUUAGAGCAUAAACGGAGCUUGUUUGCCGUUCCAUAUGCCGCCCCUCCACCUCCCUUCAAUAUCCUUGUGUCGCAGAGUCGCUGUUCAUUUCGCAAAUAGUUGACAUUUUUCAUUUGCAUCAAUUCCGCUGGCACAUCUCGCUGCUUGUCUCUUUCGCAGUCUCGUUCACGGUUAUGGGUAUUGGAAUCGACGUUCUGCCAGCGAACUUCCGCCGUAGAGCACGGCUAAAUUAAAGACGUGUCUUUCACGUCCCUUUGUUUCUUGCCCGAGGGUAACACCAUUUCCGGUCAGAUGAUUUUCACAAAAAUAAUCACUUCACAAGUUCAAAAUACUACCGUGUAUUGUGAACAGAUUAUUCCAAUAAGCUACAGUAUCUUUAUCAAUAAAGGAAAUGUAUGAUGGGAAAUAAGUAAAAUAUAUACAAGUUCGCUUGGCUUUCACAUAAUAACAGGCCAUUGCGGAUAGGUGGCCUUUUCAGCUUCUUGGGACUCAUUGGCAGCCUCACGCGGCCUUAACAUUCCAUUUCCUUUUUCAUUUUCUGUCGCCGGGCAUUGGAACACUGAAAAAGGGCUCUCGAAAUUGGCUUUUUCCGCUAAUAUUCGAUGCAGUUUAUGGACACGCCACCUUGCCGCACUUGCAGCGUCAGAAAGCAAUAUAUCUAUUCCCGUAGUGCAUUACUCUAAUCAUCAAAGGUGGGCUCCGCCCGUUUGGCCCCCUCCCCCUUUCAAGGCAAUCUGCGAAAUGGAUAUUCAUCUCAUUUUGUUUGCCCUUGCCGGCUGCUGUUUGUUCACUUGCAAAGGAAAAGGAAAAAGGCAUCAGAGUGAAUGCAGCCUAUCGGUCUAUCAGCGCAUUAUUGUAUUAAUCAAUCAACUUGCAGCACUUUCUUUCCAAAGCCAUUCUUGGCCAAAGGAGCACCUCUGUUCAAAGUACAUAUAUAUGUAUAUAUGUAUGUAUUGGCAUGCAAGGGGUAGGGGCAUUUCCAUCCACUUGAUUUAUUGCCCCGUGGGGAAGGAAUGCAAACAUUUGCUGGCCUCAUUAAGCGAGAAUUGGCAAUUUAACAAUUUGUGAAUAAUUAAUAUUCAAUUAUGCAACUGCGUGCAAUGAUAAAGAAAGCGUAAGCGAACGGCAAAAAAUUCGAAACACAAUCCAUUAUCCGGCGCACAUGGCCGCGCUGAUGGAUUAUUUAUGUUGCGGUAAUUAUACAAAGGGUUCGAGGAUGGGAGCUCCGGCAAAGGAUCUGCUGCAGGCCUAUAGCUAUACAGCUACAGAAACAGCAAGAACUAGACUGUUAUCGCCGACCGACCAGCUGCUGCACAUUCCCACCAACACCCUCCCCUCCCUCUACUACCGUGCGUCUGGUUCUCGGCUUUUUUGCAAUAACCGCAGCGGACAGCCCGCAGCACUCGGGGCCAUCAAUGUAGGACCGCUCCAUGUGUCGCACCAAGGAUUGUCGAAAUAUUGGCACACACACUCGCCCCAACAGAGCACACAUACUUAUGCGGCGCAUUUAGCAUCAUGUGAACAAAAGCAGGUCAAUACUUGUAUGUUUUUGCACCGCCCACCGCCCCCUUCGAUUUCCUUACCCCCCCGUCCUGUGCAAAGUGAAACGUAAAAUUGUUUUUUUGUUUGUUUGCUUUCCCCUGUUUAUUCUGGCGUUGUCGAGGCCCAGUUUGCUCUCGGCCGCGCAGGAAAAGGAACGGCGAUAGGAUAGGAUAGAAGGGCAAAGUCGGAUGGGAUAUAGGAUACGGGAGGAUAUAGUGGCACUGACUGUGGCGACAUUGGAUAAAUACGAAAAA